This 583-nucleotide ribosomal RNA is filed under the name uncultured bacterium. RNAcentral's name for it is "bacterial SSU rRNA". It matches the Rfam family "Bacterial small subunit ribosomal RNA", at positions 338 to 916 of the family's 1533-position model. The record is from RNAcentral.
CCUACGGGAGGCAGCAGUGGGGAAUUUUGGACAAUGGGCGAAAGCCUGAUCCAGCAAUGCCGCGUGAGUGAAGAAGGCCUUCGGGUUGUAAAGCUCUUUUGUCAGGGAAGAAACGGUGAGGGCUAAUAUCCCUUGCUAAUGACGGUACCUGAAGAAUAAGCACCGGCUAACUACGUGCCAGCAGCCGCGGUAAUACGUAGGGUGCAAGCGUUAAUCGGAAUUACUGGGCGUAAAGCGUGCGCAGGCGGUUUUGUAAGUCUGUCGUGAAAUCCCCGGGCUCAACCUGGGAAUUGCGAUGGAGACUGCAAGGCUAGAAUCUGGCAGAGGGGGGUAGAAUUCCACGUGUAGCAGUGAAAUGCGUAGAGAUGUGGAGGAACACCGAUGGCGAAGGCAGCCCCCUGGGUCAAGAUUGACGCUCAUGCACGAAAGCGUGGGGAGCAAACAGGAUUAGAUACCCUGGUAGUCCACGCCCUAAACGAUGUCUACUAGUUGUCGGGUUUUAAUAACUUGGUAACGCAGCUAACGCGUGAAGUAGACCGCCUGGGGAAUACGGUCGCAAGAUUAAAACUUAAAUGAUUGACGG